Molecule: unclassified non-coding RNA, 240 nt
Filed under: soil metagenome
Description: partial contains 5.8S ribosomal RNA, internal transcribed spacer 2, and large subunit ribosomal RNA
Source: RNAcentral
AAGACUAUAGACCUGCGGAGUACCUGCGGAGGGAUCAUUACAGAGUUGCAAAACUCCCAAACCAUUGUGAACGUUACCUUCUCGUUGCUUCGGCGGGCGGCCCGGGUCCUUCCCGGCGCCCCCCGGCCCCUCGCGGGCGCCCGCCGGAGGUAAACCAAACUCUUGAAUUGUAUGGCCUCUCUGAGUCUUCUGUACUGAAUAAGUCAAAACUUUUAACAACGGAUCUCUAGAUCGGAAGAG